This 4305-nucleotide long non-coding RNA is filed under the name Homo sapiens (human). Its description in RNAcentral is "HSALNT0261057". The record is from RNAcentral. Lineage: Eukaryota; Metazoa; Chordata; Mammalia; Primates; Hominidae.
CCCGGGUGGCAGAGGUUGCAGUGAGCUGAGAUUGUGCCACUGCACUCCAGCCUGGACGACAGGGCAAGAUUCUGUUAAAAAAAAACAAAAAACUGCGUACUGCAGGCUAGCCAAGCUGACACAAAAGUCUAAACAUCACAGACAUCAUCAGGGUCAACCGGUAGAAAUUAAAGGACUUAAAUUAGUGUUUCAGUAGGCAUGCUUGAACCGGAAUAGACACUGUGGGGGGAGGGGCGUGCAGAGUUCUGUGCAUCGACUGCUGACUGCUCAGAGUCAGGAAACAAACCAUACAUAUUCUGUUUGCCCCAUCUGGGCUAUGCCACUAUAGUGUCUUGCAAUACAUCCUAACAAUUAGGAACCCUAUUAAGGUUGGUGCAAAAGUAAUUGCAGAUUUGCCAUUGAAAGUAAUGGCCAAAACCACAGUUACUUUUGCACCAAUCUAUAGAUUGAAACGAGACUGAUGAUUCCCUCCCUGGAGUCUUAUAAACAGGAUGGGAGCCAUCCAGGCAGUUAGAGGGAUUAUACUUCCUGGGGGUGGGGGACUAAAAUAGAAGUCCACAAUAAAACCAUUUCCUGGCUGGGCGAGGUGGCUCAUGCCUGUAAUCCCAGCACUUUGGGAGGCCUGAGUCAGGUGGAUCACCUGAGGUCGGGAGUUUGAGACCAGCCCGACCGACAUGCAGAAACCCCGUCUCUACUAAAAAUACCAAAUUAGCCACGCAUGGUCGCGCAUGCCUGUAAUCCCAGCUACGCAGGAGGCUGAGGCAGGAGAAUCGCUUGAACCCGGGAAGCGGAGGUCGCAGUGAGUCGAGAUCGCGUCAUUGCACUCCAGCCUGGGCAGCAAGAGCAAAACUCUGUCUCAAAAAAAAAACAAAAACAAAAACAAAACAAAACAAAAAAACCCAUUUCCUAUCAUCCAGCAGAUACCAAAUACAGAGCGCAUUCAACCUCAGGCAUUUGCUUCCUAACUCCUACAAUUUGAUCUAUUUCCUUCUACAAAAAAAUUACGUGCACAGCGUCAGAAGGGCAGUGAAAAAUGAGGAAUGUUCCACUUCUGUUGUUGCCAGGGCGUUCCUAAAUAUCCUGCAAAUGCAGGAGUCCUCUGCCAACGGGUGCUAGCGCUCAAGGCUUUGGCCUGGAAUCAGUGUGAAACUUCUGUUCUCUCUUCCUGCAAAUCCAGAUGGAGCCCCUGGAUCAUAAAAUAAAAACGGGACCAAUGUCCAGGAAUGGCUCCUAUUAGGUUGGUGCAAAAGUAACUGCGGUUUCUUGGCUGGGUGCAGUGCCUCACGUCUGUAAUCCCACCACUUUGGGAGGCUGAGAUGGGUGGAUCACCUGAGGUCAGGAGUUCCAGACCAGCCUGGCCAAAAUGGUGAAACCCUGUCUCUACUAAAAAUAUAAAAAUUAGCUGGGCAUGGCAGCGGGUGCCUGUAAUCCCAGGUACUCGGGAGGCUGAGGCAGAGAAUUGCUUGAACCUGGGAGGCAGAGGUUACAGUGAGCUGGGGUUGCAUGGUGAAAUCCCAUCUCUACUAAAAAUACAAAAAUUAGCCAGGCAUGGUGGCACAUGCCUGUAAUCCCAGCUACUCAGGAGGCUGAGGCAGAAGAAUCGCUUGAACCUGGGAAGCGGAGGUUGCAGUGAGCUAAGAUCGUGCCACUGCACUCCAGCCUGGAUGACAAAGUGAGACCCCACCUAAAAAAAAAAAAUCAAUAAAAAUAAAAAGGCCGGGCAUGGUGGCUCACGCCUGUAAUCCCAACACCUUGGGAAGCCGAGACGGGUGAAUCACGAGGUCAGGAGUUCAAGACCAGCCUGGGCAACAUGGUGAAAACCCCAUCUCUACUAAAUAUACAAACAUCAGCUGGGCAUGGUGGCAGGUGCCUGUAAUCCCAGCUACUCGGGAGGCUGAGGCAGAGAAUUGCUUGAACCUGGGAGGCAGAGGUUGUAGUGAGCCGAGAUCAUGCCACUGCACUCCAGCCCGGUCAACAGAGUGAGACUCCGUCUCAAAAAAAAAAAAAAAAAAAAGUAAUUGCAAUGUCAUAAAUGUAAUGGCAAAAACCGCAAUUACUUUUCCACCAACCUGAUGGAAGUAGAUCCUGGUGCGUUGCCCAGGCAUGCCGUUUAUAGGUAAAUGGAAAGGGCAAAGGUACACAGGGAGAUAACUAGAUAGCAUGAAGCCCUGAUCUCAGGUCUUUGUCAGCUUGUGGCAGGUGGAAUUAAGCCUAUUUAGCAGAAACUCAAAGGCACACUUCCCCUGCUGUACAGUGAACACACGCAUUUGUAGAGCUUGGACCACAGAUAUCAGGGACCCCUGACUUGACAUAGCGUGCAGAUGGAAAGUGGGGUGAAAGUCCUUCUUCCAGAGUCUGAAGUUGACCCAUGAGCUAGCUCUCUGAAGCUAGCAGGCCUGGCCAGGGCUUAACACAUCUUCCCAUAAUGCACACACAUUGUCCAGACUAAAUGUUUAUUUCUCAACCUACAUAUCAACUCUCCACUCUGUUUCAACGUGAGCAUCCAAAAACCUAUCAAAUAACCACAAUUCUUACAGUCAAAGUGAAUUUUUAUCAAUAGCAUUCUUUUCAGAUUUCUCCAGUAAACUGUCUACCAAAGGGAGGGUAUAAAACCUUCUGCUAUGAACAGUUAUCACAUAAAGGUAUGUAUUUCCAUCCUGGCCAUGUUAUUUGGGUUUGUGUGAUCUUUACUGGGCCACAAGAAUAUUAGCAUCUGGAAGUCAGCAAGUUCUCUGAAAAAUCAAACUGGUGGCUUGUUCCCAAAGAUGGUACCCAAAGAGCGAUCUACCAGUAUUUAUUCCCUGUGUCAUUCCUUCCCCUUGAAUCAGGACUGGACCUAUGACUAGGUUUUAACCAAUAGAAUAAAGCAGAAGUGAUGCCUGUGACUCCUAAAGUCAGAUCCUAAGAAACAUUGAAAGUAUCACCUUAAGUCUCUUGGAGCAUCCUCACUGGGAGACGGCCAUGCUGUAAGGAAGCCCAAGCUAGUCACACAGAGAGGCAUCUUUUAAUUUUUUUCUUUUAUUUUUAGAAAUCGGAAUGGGGGGAAUAAAAGAAAUUGGAAUAGGAGUAUGAGAGGCAUCUUUAAGAUACAGAUGUCCAACCAGCCCGAAGCUGUUCCAACCUUCAGAGCCCAGGUGCAAGCCAUGUGAGUGAAGAAGUCUUCAAACAAUCCCAGCCCUAGAUAUUAUCUGGCUGCAGUAUCAUGACAGACUCCAAAUUAGAACCACUCAGCUGAGCCCAGUAAAGCCCUAGAACCACAGAAUUGUGUUUUAAGCCAGGAGUCAGCAAACUACCAUAUACAAACCAAAUCGGGCCCACUACCUUGUUUGGUAAGCAAAGUUUUGUUGGCACACGGCCACACUCAUUCAUGGAUGUAUUGUCCAUAAUGUUUUCAUGCUGUAAUGGCAGAGUAGUAGAAACAUGGCCUUCAAAGCUGAAAAUAUUCAUUCUCUAGCCCUUCUCAAAAAAAAAAAAAAAAAAAAGUCUGCCCUAUGGAGUCAUAGAACAGAAAACAGUUCUGUGCCCUCCCUUUGCAGGUGGGAUGGCGGUGAGGGAGGUUGGACCAUGGAAGACCUUGGGUCAGGGAGCCACCUCACUCCCUCCCUCCACCAAAAACAAACAAACAAAAAAAAGUUUGCCAAAUCUCUACUUUAAGCCACUAAGUUUGGGGGUGGUUUGUUAGGUACUAGUAAAGAAAACAGAACAUUAAUAAUUUCACAAUCUGUAUUUUGCAACUGAAGGAUACUGAAAAAUUGAUUUCUAAACUAAGUACUAUAAAAUGUUGCCAGGACCACUUGUUUCUUUCCUAACAUUCCUUCCUGGAACAAAUGUUCUAAGUUUUCCAAUUCCAUUAGCAGAAUGAUGACUCAGCACAAAUUCAAAGGACUAAACCUGAGUUUGAAUCACAACUAGGUCACUUUCUUUUUUUUGAGACAGAGUCUCACUCUGUGCCCAGGCUGGAGUGCAAUGGCACGAUCUCGGCUCACUGCAACCUCCGCCUCCCAGGUUCAAGCGAUUCUCCUGCCUCAGCCUCCCGAAUAGCUGAGACUACAGGUGUGCAGCACCACCAUGCCCGGCUAAUUUUUGUAUUUUGAGCAGAGACAGGGUUUCACCAUGUUGACCACGCUGGUCUCGAACUCAGGUGAUCCGCCCGCCUCGGCCUCCCAAAGUGCUGGGAUUACAAGCAUGAGCCAACAUGCCCAGCCACAGCUGGGUCACUAACUCUGUAACUAAGGAUGAGUUAAUUAAUCAUUUUUUUCCUGCGGGAGAAAAGGGAGCCUAACAGUGUUGUGAUUAAGAGCACAU